UUUUUUUUCGUUUUCCCACUCAAGUCUCGAAUAAAAUCUGAAAAAGAAAUGAAAAAAAAAAAUCUUCUCACGUUUUUAAUGAUAAAACAAAUAAAAAAUCUCCAUCUUGUUUCCCUGCCUUCAAACUCGAUUCAGAUCUAGAUUUCACACUUUCUCUCAUUUUCUUUAUCUUCUUCUUCCUCCUCAUUCUUUGCUGAGUUAUCAAGGUUUUCUUUAUACUGUUGAUUUCUUUAUUGUUCAGACUUUCGAUUCGGACAUAAAUCAAAAGUUAGAGAAGAGAGACGAGUAAGAGAAGAGAGAAUAGAGAAGAGAUAGAGUUCGGAACUGGCAAAGAAAGGAGAAGACGUGACGGCCGGAAUAAGCAGGGACGUCGCUCGGAGAUGGGAAGAGGAAGAAGAGGAGAUGACAGAAGAAGAAGCGGAGUGGUGUCGGAGAUGGCUGGUGAAGAAGACGCGACGGCAGCGGAGAUCCUUAAACUAGGAAGAAGAAGAAGAUCCGGUGUGGUCAGAGCCGGUCUUGAAGAAUUGGGGCCCCUAAUCUAAUUUUUUUUACUACAAGUUUAUUUAUAUUCAAAGUUUUAGCAGAAAAAAGUUUAUUUAUAUUCCCUUUAUAUUUUUUCAUAAAUUUUACUAAAAAAUAUUUUAUAUUAUAACCAUAGUAAUGGUUUUACUUAAAAAAAAUAAUUUACAAAAAAAAUUAUGUCGACCAAAAAAAAAAUCUAAGUAACAAUAGGUUUAGUUUUUUAAAACGUAUUCUUGUAAGUGAGUUUACAAAGAAAAUUAUUUCUGAUGACUGAUAACAGAGUUAUUUUCUUCUGUAAUAUUAGUUUAGUUUAGAAAAAAUAACUCAGUUUUUUUGAAAAUGAGGGCCCCUUGAGGUGGAGGCCCCAUUCAAAUGUUUCACCCCCCCCACCCCACAAGCCCAGCUCUGGGUGUGGUGACAGAAGAAUAAGAAUUUGGUCAAAUACAUAUCUCGAUAAGUACGCGAAGCCAGAGUAUGAGAUUGGAUUUCCAGGAGUACUAGAGCUUGUUAAGGAGCUAAAUAAUUUAUGGUUUCGUUGAGAUUCCAUAUACCAACCGGUUCCUUUUGCCGUAGAUUGCUUUUCAAGAAGCCACAAGGUCUCUACAUCAGCUUGAAAGAGAAGAGUGUUUUAGUAUCUCUCUCUUACCAUCUCACUUCCCUUUUCUUUUUUUGGAAUACUAAGGUGAAUAUAUAUGUUAUUUAGGGGCAAUAUUCUUAAAGUGUUGAAAGCUAUUCGUGAAUCCACUGAGUGGUCAUCACUUAGUGAAGCUCCUCAGUUUAGUUGAAGGCAAGUAAUUCUACACUGGAAGCAAGUUUCUUUUAUUCUCUUUGUAACUUUUAGUGUUCCAGAUGUGCUAACAUUACAGUGAUCGACUUCUUUGCCUUAACAAGUUGCUUCUCUUUCGGCUCUUCAACAACAGAUUCUUUCAAAGUCUCUUCGCUCUUGACAUCUGCAGUAGAAGUCGUCUUCUCUGUCGAAUCCAAAGAGGGAGGAGAGAUAUUUCUUCACUGGUAAACAAUGGUGAAAGCAGUAGUUGGAGAAGAGGCUAGGCUCACCUCUGCUGAAGAUCGUCUCUCUCACUCCGCUAUUCCUGCUGAGGUGGGUCUUGUGAUAGGGAAGCUUAGCUCUGUUUUAGAUUGUGGAUUUGUGUUUGAGAGAGCAUGCUCGGUUCUGGGGACCAGAGAUGAUAAAAGGAAGCCAUCCAAGUCAAAAUCUCAGUCAUCGGAGUCGUAUUCUCUGUCGAUUGAUCGUGAUAGUAAACAAUCGCUGUAGUGCAUUCCUGGUUUAGACUUUGGUUUAGUUUUGGUUAUUUUGUAAACAAUUUUUAUAUAUAAAAUUUAAAAUAUUUUUAUUUAUAUUUUUUUAGUUUUUUUAAUAAUCUAUAAUAGCGAUUAUUACGUGCGAUUAUAAGAAAUACAAUUGCACAACUAAUGAAACGCUUUCAAAGCAUAUAUAAAACGCUAUCUAAAGUGCUCGAGAAAAGAUUGCGGGGGAAGAUACAACGUUUGCCAUAACGCUGUGCUAUUUUGCAAUAGUAUUUUCCUCAUGCUAUAUAUGAGACAUGUUUUUGUAGUGAGAGUGUUACUUGUUCAAACUUUGAGAUGCAAGCGUAAUGUGAUGUAGCAAACGAUGCUACUUGUAGCUAGUUUCUUGUGUUCUUACUUGUUCCUUUUGAAUUUUGGCAGGCAUUGAUUACAUUGAAGAAGGGCUUUCAGCUUUUGAUAUAUGGUUGCAAAGGAAAGGCAAAGUUUUAUCCUUUUAGAUUGUCUAGUCGUUUUCUGCUGUAUCUGAGAAAAGUAUUCUCGUUGGUGUUAGUUUUGCAGGAUGAUAAGCCUUUGAUCUUGAUAUCUAGUAGCAGCGAAAAGAGUAAGUUAGCUUCUGUAUCUAAAGUUGUACCUGGAAAAAGAACUUUACUUUGGUUUAAGGAAAUGUGCGGGGCAAAUUACAAUCAAGUAUGGAGAUACCUGUUUUGCGGACUCCCAGCAAACGGAAUCAAACCACAGCUCCAUCAACAGCCACGACAAGAAGCAGAUGAUGAUCAAGGAAGUGAUGUGGAGGAGAUCACACGAGUAGAGUUCAGACUCUCCAUGGGAUACUUUAUACGUGUUGAGGAAGCGGAAGAAGACAUCGAUCCUAUGUUCCGGAGAGUUGUCCAAAAACUCAAAGACAAUGCACGCCCAAAACGAGAACAAGGAGAGUCCUCACGAGGCAAGUCUCGUCGCCGAGACUAAGGCAUUGUACCAACACUUUUCAUGUGAGAUAGAGAUCAAAAUAAAUUGAGAUGUUUGCUUGUAGUUGUUUCUUCUCACUUUAUUUUUUACUAGUGAUUACAUUUAUGAUUUUCCUUUGACGUUGAAUGAAAACUUCGAGAACAAGGGAACUGGAAUAUACCCAAUUUUUAUAUAUCAAAAUUUUAAAAUA
This is a long non-coding RNA of Brassica napus (rape), 2944 nucleotides long. RefSeq lists it as uncharacterized. The transcript is spliced from 9 exons. The record is from RefSeq and is a predicted model, not a curated record. Lineage: Eukaryota; Viridiplantae; Streptophyta; Magnoliopsida; Brassicales; Brassicaceae.